Molecule: ribosomal RNA, 180 nt
Filed under: uncultured Glomeromycotina
Lineage: Eukaryota; Fungi; Glomeromycota
Description: partial small subunit ribosomal RNA
Rfam family: Eukaryotic small subunit ribosomal RNA (bases 90-180)
Source: RNAcentral
GGCCUGGCUGGGCGGUCUUGCCGCAAGGUAAGCACUGCUCUGGUCGGGCCUUUCCUUCUGGGGAACCAGCGUGCUCUUAAUUGAGUGCGUUGGGGAUCCAGGACUUUUACUUUGAAAAAAUUAGAGUGUUUAAAGCAGGCUCACGCUUGAAUACAUUAGCAUGGAAUAACGAAAUAGGAC